Molecule: long non-coding RNA, 517 nt
Filed under: Carica papaya (papaya)
Lineage: Eukaryota; Viridiplantae; Streptophyta; Magnoliopsida; Brassicales; Caricaceae
Description: long non-coding RNA (CPAP_LNC013817)
Source: RNAcentral
UUUUAUUCGAUUUUAUUUUUUAACUAAAUAUUAUUAAAUAAAUAUUUUAUCAUUAUUUUAAACAUGGCCAGGCUGUAUCCAGAACUUCUCCAGUGAAAUCCCUAAUUUACCCUUUUCACUGUCGGCCCGCUGAAUAACCUCUCCGACCGAUUGCUUGCACCGCUCUGAACUUCGAACCAUUUCGCGAAACACUAAUCUCAUCGGCGAAGAACCGGGAAUCGCGGUGCUUCCAUAUCGGCGGUACUGAAAGGGAAUGGUUGCAGAGUGAGGAACAAGGGAAUUUGGCGACGAGGUUAUUGGUCUCCGCAUUUAAACUUGCUUGUAUACACAUAGGAAGACAAACGAAAGAAUUAAUUGCUAUAUACGUAUUUCUCGUUUCUGUUUUUUUUUUUGUAUGAAUAGGAAGCUAUUUUAUGCUUUUUAGACUUGUGGAUUUACUGUGAAAUUGGAUAAAAAUGGUUAAUUGAUUUACUGGGUGCAGUUCAUUAUGUGGGUAGUUCGCUUGAUGGGACCAAGC